CAGCCGUAAACAAUGUGCGUUAGGUGUGUCGGUAACCACGUGUUACUGAUGCGCCGAAGAGAAAUCGUGAAACGCACCACCUGGGAAGUACGGUCGCAAGGCUGAAACUUAAAGGAAUUGGCGGGGGAGCACCACAACAGGUGGAGCCUGCGGUUUAAUUGGAUUCAACGCCGGACAUCUCACCGGAUAAGACAGCUGAAUGAUUGUCAAUCUGAAGACUCUGCAUGACUAGCUGAGAGGUGGUGCAUGGCGUAGACGUCU
This 261-nucleotide ribosomal RNA is filed under the name uncultured archaeon. RNAcentral's name for it is "partial 16S ribosomal RNA". It matches the Rfam family "Archaeal small subunit ribosomal RNA", at positions 748 to 1009 of the family's 1478-position model. The record is from RNAcentral.